CAGUCCAGAAUGUUCAAACG
Molecule: microRNA, 20 nt
Filed under: anatid alphaherpesvirus 1
Lineage: Duplodnaviria; Heunggongvirae; Peploviricota; Herviviricetes; Herpesvirales; Orthoherpesviridae
Description: dev-miR-D9-3p
Gene: dev-miR-D9-3p
Source: miRBase by way of RNAcentral